RNAcentral lists this ribosomal RNA (241 nucleotides) under uncultured bacterium. RNAcentral's name for it is "partial 16S ribosomal RNA". It matches the Rfam family "Bacterial small subunit ribosomal RNA", at positions 95 to 334 of the family's 1533-position model. The record is from RNAcentral.
CCGGCGCACGGUGAGUAACACGUAUGCAAUCCACCUGUAACAGGGGAUAACCCGGAGAAAUCCGGACUAAUACCCCAUAAUAUGGGCGCUCCGCAUGGAGAGCCCAUUAAAGAGAGCAAUUUUGGUUACGGACGAGCAUGCGCUCCAUUAGCCAGUUGGCGGGGUAACGGCCCACCAAAGCGACGAUGGAUAGGGGUUCUGAGAGGAAGGUCCCCCACAUUGGAACUGAGACACGGUCCAA